UUGGCUAAGCCUUGAACGUUGUGUGACCAGGAUCCUGAGGCUGUAUGAACCUCUGGCCAGCUACUACAAAUCUGCUAAUGAAAAUCAGGCCAGGUUCAAGAGACUUGUGCAGACAUUCACUGACCCCAUGACAGAAGUGUACCUGCUGUUCUUCCAAGCCACCGUACCAACUUUCACUUCUUUCAACUUGCUGCUUCAGAGAGAGCAGUCAUCAAUAUUUUUGUUGCAUGAUGAGAUGGUGAAAUUCGUAUGCAAGCUAUGUUCCAAGUUUAUGGUUCCAGCAGCUCUGCAGUGCCAUGAGGAGCCUUGUGAAAUUG
This is a long non-coding RNA of Coregonus clupeaformis (lake whitefish), 317 nucleotides long. RefSeq lists it as uncharacterized. The record is from RefSeq and is a predicted model, not a curated record. NCBI's taxonomy places the organism in Eukaryota, Metazoa, Chordata, Actinopteri, Salmoniformes, Salmonidae. The transcript has 3 exons.